GUGACAACGAGAGAGAGCACGCUGGAAUGCUUUCACGCAAUAAGCCUGGAUGUGUUCUUGCGUGCCCUUUCCCGUUGUCGC
This 81-nucleotide microRNA precursor is filed under the name Physcomitrium patens. Its description in RNAcentral is "Physcomitrella patens miR535c stem-loop (ppt-MIR535c)". Its record names the gene ppt-MIR535c. It matches the Rfam family "MIR535 microRNA precursor family", at positions 10 to 89 of the family's 95-position model. The record is from miRBase by way of RNAcentral. Lineage: Eukaryota; Viridiplantae; Streptophyta; Bryopsida; Funariales; Funariaceae.